CGCGGGGUGGAGCAGCCCGGUAGCUCGCUGGCCUCAUAAGCCAGAGGUCGCGGGUUCAAAUCCCGCCCCCGCAA
Molecule: transfer RNA, 74 nt
Filed under: Thermocrinis albus DSM 14484
Lineage: Bacteria; Pseudomonadati; Aquificota; Aquificia; Aquificales; Aquificaceae
Description: tRNA-fMet (CAT) (tRNA-fMet-CAT-1-1)
Rfam family: tRNA
About the family: Transfer RNA (tRNA) molecules are approximately 80 nucleotides in length. Their secondary structure includes four short double-helical elements and three loops (D, anti-codon, and T loops). Further hydrogen bonds mediate the characteristic L-shaped molecular structure. tRNAs have two regions of fundamental functional importance: the anti-codon, which is responsible for specific mRNA codon recognition, and the 3' end, to which the tRNAs corresponding amino acid is attached (by aminoacyl-tRNA synthetases). tRNAs cope with the degeneracy of the genetic code in two manners: having more than one tRNA (with a specific anti-codon) for a particular amino acid; and 'wobble' base-pairing, i.e. permitting non-standard base-pairing at the 3rd anti-codon position.
Source: Rfam by way of RNAcentral